AUUGAACGCUGGCGGCAUGCUUUACACAUGCAAGUCGAGCGGCAGCGCGGGGGCAACCCUGGCGGCGAGCGGCGAACGGGUGAGUAAUGCAUCGGAACGUGUCCUUGAGUGGGGGAUAACCCGGCGAAAGCCGGGCUAAUACCGCAUGCGCUCUGAGGAGGAAAGCGGGGGAGCCUGAGGGAAACUGAGGGGCCUCGCGCUCGUGGAGCGGCCGAUGUCCGAUUAGGUAGNGGUGGGGUAAUGGCCUACCAAGCCUGCGAUCGGUAGCUGGUCUGAGAGGAUGAUCAGCCACACUGGGACUGAGACACGGCCCAGACUCCUACGGGAGGCAGCAGUGGGAAUUUUGGACAAUGGGGCAACCCUGAUCCAGCCAUGCCGCGUGCGGGAAGAAGG
This 393-nucleotide ribosomal RNA is filed under the name uncultured bacterium. RNAcentral describes it as "bacterial SSU rRNA". It matches the Rfam family "Bacterial small subunit ribosomal RNA", at positions 28 to 414 of the family's 1533-position model. The record is from RNAcentral.